UUAACACAUGCAAGUCGAACGGAAAGGCCCUGCUUUUGUGGGGUGCUCGAGUGGCGAACGGGUGAGUAACACGUGAGUAACCUGCCCUUGACUUUGGGAUAACUUCAGGAAACUGGGGCUAAUACCGGAUAGGAGCUCCUGCUGCAUGGUGGGGGUUGGAAAGUUUCGGCGGUUGGGGAUGGACUCGCGGCUUAUCAGCUUGUUGGUGGGGUAGUGGCUUACCAAGGCUUUGACGGGUAGCCGGCCUGAGAGGGUGACCGGCCACAUUGGGACUGAGAUACGGCCCAGACUCCUACGGGAGGCAGCAGUGGGGAAUAUUGCACAAUGGGCGGAAGCCUGAUGCAGCAACGCCGCGUGCGGGAUGACGGCCUUCGGGUUGUAAACCGCUUUCGCCUGUGACGAAGCGUGAGUGACGGUAAUGGGUAAAGAAGCACCGGCUAACUACGUGCCAGCAGCCGCGGUGAUACGUAGGGUGCGAGCGUUGUCCGGAUUUAUUGGGCGUAAAGGGCUCGUAGGUGGUUGAUCGCGUCGGAAGUGUAAUCUUGGGGCUUAACCCUGAGCGUGCUUUCGAUACGGGUUGACUUGAGGAAGGUAGGGGAGAAUGGAAUUCCUGGUGGAGCGGUGGAAUGCGCAGAUAUCAGGAGGAACACCAGUGGCGAAGGCGGUUCUCUGGGCCUUUCCUGACGCUGAGGAGCGAAAGCGUGGGGAGCGAACAGGCUUAGAUACCCUGGUAGUCCACGCUGUAAACGGUGGGUACUAGGUGUGGGGUCCAUUCCACGGGUUCCGUGCCGUAGCUAACGCUUUAAGUACCCCGCCUGGGGAGUACGGCCGCAAGGCUAAAACUCAAAGGAAUUGACGGGGCCCCGCACAAGCGGCGGAGCAUGCGGAUUAAUUCGAUGCAACGCGUAGAACCUUACCUGGGUUUGACAUGGAUCGGGAGUGCUCAGAGAUGGGUGUGCCUCUUUUGGGGUCGGUUCACAGGUGGUGCAUGGCUGUCGUCAGCUCGUGUCGUGAGAUGUUGGGUUAAGUCCCGCAACGAGCGCAACCCUUGUUCACUGUUGCCAGCACGUUAUGGUGGGGACUCAGUGGAGACCGCCGGGGUCAACUCGGAGGAAGGUGGGGAUGACGUCAAGUCAUCAUGCCCCUUAUGUCCAGGGCUUCACGCAUGCUACAAUGGCUGGUACAGAGAGUGGCGAGCCUGUGAGGGUGAGCGAAUCUCGGAAAGCCGGUCUCAGUUCGGAUUGGGGUCUGCAACUCGACCUCAUGAAGUCGGAGUCGCUAGUAAUCGCAGAUCAGCAACGCUGCGGUGAAUACGUUCCCGGGGCUUGUACACACCGCCCGUCAAGUCAUGAAAGUUGGUAACACCCGAAGCCGGUGGCCUAACCGUUGUGGGGGAGCCGUCGAAGGUGGGACUGGUGAUUAGGACUAAGU
RNAcentral lists this ribosomal RNA (1431 nucleotides) under uncultured organism. Its description in RNAcentral is "16S ribosomal RNA". It matches the Rfam family "Bacterial small subunit ribosomal RNA". The record is from RNAcentral.